RNAcentral lists this ribosomal RNA (163 nucleotides) under Bacteroides caecigallinarum. RNAcentral's name for it is "partial 23S ribosomal RNA". It matches the Rfam family "Bacterial large subunit ribosomal RNA", at positions 550 to 712 of the family's 2925-position model. The record is from RNAcentral. Lineage: Bacteria; Pseudomonadati; Bacteroidota; Bacteroidia; Bacteroidales; Bacteroidaceae.
CUGAAACCGUGCGCCUACAAGCGGUCGGAGCUCUGCAAAGAGUGACGGCGUGCCUUUUGCAUAAUGAACCUACGAGUUACCGUGUCCGGCAAGGUUAAGGGACAGGAGUUCCGGAACCGAAGCGAAAGCGAGUCUGAACAGGGCGAGUUUCCCCUCAGGGGAA